CUUCCUGCUGGGUAGAGCUGUGUCAUUUUGCAAAUCUAUGUAAUUUUAAGACACGUAAAUUGGGAGUGGAAGUGGGGAAAGUUUUAAAAUCACAUGGAAGAUUCCAUCCGACCAAUGCAAAUGAAGAACUAGAACUAGUUAUCUUAAUAGUGAUACAGGGGAAAGAAACUCCUAACCCAUUAGUUGUCUGGUAUAAAUUCGUGUUCUCUAAAAUCGAAGAAUGAAUUUUAGAAACAACGGAGGAGAAUAUAUUUAUUGAGAGAAAGAAAGCUUCUGUUUUAGGAGCGACAGACGGGGUCCUGAGUGGGUUGUGAUUGUGAAAGAGUUCGUCUUUUUUAUGGAGUUUUGUAGAGCAAAACCACAAGGUGAGGCUGGUCCAAGAAUCUGCAGUUGUCUCAAAAAGAGUGUUAGCCAAAUGUCUGCGGUGGUCUUAAUUCCUGUCAGUGUGGUCUACACUUUGUCCAAGGAGACCAAAUUGCAAGUGCACAAACCAAUUAACCAUUAGCAGCUGAAGAAGGAGACCAGGGAGUCUUGCACAAUUAUAUCUUCUAGGAAGGCUCAGAGGACUAUUUUAUUUCUUACAAAGCAGCGGUAUUAAAAGAAUUUCAUGACCAGCUGUGGCGCCCUGGCAUGCUGCUGUAUUUCAUCAUUUCUGUGAUGACGUCUCCUGGCCCCCACACCAGGCACCCUGACCUGCUCUUCCCUGCCUUGUGUCUCACACCCACCCCACUGGUCCUCUCCUGUGUGCUCAGUGUUCAGCUCUACCAUUUGCUUUCAAAUCAAAUGUUUGGGCUAAAGGUCUCUUACCCCAGAAGAGCUCUGUGCUCUUAGAAUUAAAUUCCUGGUUCUUCAAUGAAUAUACAUUUAUGUCAAAGUAAUACAGAAGUGGAUUCCUGAUUAUUUAAUAAAACAGA
Cavia porcellus (domestic guinea pig) is the source of this 914-nucleotide long non-coding RNA. RefSeq lists it as uncharacterized. The transcript is spliced from 4 exons. Lineage: Eukaryota; Metazoa; Chordata; Mammalia; Rodentia; Caviidae. The record is from RefSeq and is a predicted model, not a curated record.